UACGUAGGGGGCUAGCGUUGUCCGGAUUUAUUGGGCGUAAAGAGCGUGUAGGCGGCCAGGGAGGUCUGGUGUGAAAACUCGAGGCUUAACCUUGAGAUGUCAUCGGAAACCAUUUGGCUAGAGUCCGGAAGAGGAUAGUAGAAUUCUUGGUGUAGUGGUGAAAUACGUAGAUAUCAAGAGGAAUACCGGAGGCGAAGGCGGCUAUCUGGCCUAACACUGACACUCAGACCCGAAAGCGUGGGGAUCAAACAGG
Molecule: ribosomal RNA, 253 nt
Filed under: uncultured bacterium
Lineage: Bacteria
Description: partial 16S ribosomal RNA
Rfam family: Bacterial small subunit ribosomal RNA
Source: RNAcentral